AUCCUUUUGUACGUCACAAGCAUGAUGACUAGGUGUUCACGUGAAUGUGUGAUCUGUGCCUCUUUUGAACCUUGUUAUGACAUUGGCACAUUAUCUAAUGUAAAA
Otolemur garnettii (small-eared galago) is the source of this 105-nucleotide small nucleolar RNA. The record is from Ensembl. Lineage: Eukaryota; Metazoa; Chordata; Mammalia; Primates; Galagidae.